Molecule: non-coding RNA, 73 nt
Organism: Pangasius djambal
Lineage: Eukaryota; Metazoa; Chordata; Actinopteri; Siluriformes; Pangasiidae
Source: the annotation of a GenBank genome assembly
AGCUCUGUAGUGUAGUGGUUAUCAUGUUCGCGUUACACAGCAAAGGUCUUGGGUUCAACCCCCAGGAGAACCA